GAGUUUGAUUAUGGCUCAGGAUGAACGCUAGCGGGAGGCCUAACACAUGCAAGCCGAGCGGGAUUUGUUGGUUAGCUUGCUAACUAAUAAUGAGAGCGGCGUACGGGUGCGUAACACGUGUGCAACCUGCCUUUAUCUGGGGGAUAGCCUUUCGAAAGGAAGAUUAAUACCCCAUAAUAUAUUAAUUGGCAUCAAUUGAUAUUGAAAGCUCCGGCGGAUAGAGAUGGGCACGCGUAAGAUUAGCUAGUUGGUGAGGUAACGGCUCACCAAGGCUGCGAUCUUUAGGGGGCCUGAGAGGGUGAUCCCCCACACUGGUACUGAGACACGGACCAGACUCCUACGGGAGGCAGCAGUGAGGAAUAUUGGACAAUGGGUGAGAGCCUGAUCCAGCCAUCCCGCGUGAAGGACUAAGGACCUAUGGUUUGUAAACUUCUUUUAUACAGGGAUAAACCUACUCUCGUGAGGGUAGCUGAAGGUACUGUAUGAAUAAGCACCGCA
RNAcentral lists this ribosomal RNA (498 nucleotides) under Bergeyella zoohelcum. RNAcentral's name for it is "bacterial SSU rRNA". It matches the Rfam family "Bacterial small subunit ribosomal RNA", at positions 9 to 497 of the family's 1533-position model. The record is from RNAcentral. Lineage: Bacteria; Pseudomonadati; Bacteroidota; Flavobacteriia; Flavobacteriales; Weeksellaceae.